GAUCAUGGCUCAGGAUGAACGCUAGCGACAGGCUUAACACAUGCAAGUCGAGGGGCAGCAUAAAAGUAGCAAUACUUGGUGGCGACCGGCGCACGGGUGAGUAACGCGUAUGCAACCUACCUAUCGAGAGGGGAAUAACCCGGCGAAAGUCGGACUAAUACCGCAUAAAACAGGGGCACCGCAUGGUGAUAUUUGUUAAAGAAAUUCGCUGAUAGAUGGGCAUGCGUUCCAUUAGGUAGUUGGUGAGGUAACGGCUCACCAAGCCGACGAUGGAUAGGGGAACUGAGAGGUUGGUCCCCCACACUGGUACUGAGACACGGACCAGACUCCUACGGGAGGCAGCAGUGAGGAAUAUUGGUCAAUGGGCGGGAGCCUGAACCAGCCAAGUCGCGUGAAGGAAGAAGGAUCUAUGGUUCGUAAACUUCUUUUGCAGGGGAAUAAAGUGCAGGACGUGUCCUGUUUUGUAUGUACCCUGAGAAUAAGGAUCGGCUAACUCCGUGCCAGCAGCCGC
RNAcentral lists this ribosomal RNA (511 nucleotides) under uncultured bacterium. Its description in RNAcentral is "bacterial SSU rRNA". It matches the Rfam family "Bacterial small subunit ribosomal RNA", at positions 15 to 518 of the family's 1533-position model. The record is from RNAcentral.